GCCCCCGUGGGCCAUGGUGGUCGCCUCAAAUCCAUAGAUAAAUUUGGGGAAUUGCUACGAGCCGGAGGUUCGAAUCCUCCCGGGGGCA
Molecule: non-coding RNA, 88 nt
Organism: Mycena latifolia
Lineage: Eukaryota; Fungi; Basidiomycota; Agaricomycetes; Agaricales; Mycenaceae
Source: the annotation of a GenBank genome assembly